RNAcentral lists this long non-coding RNA (1211 nucleotides) under Nannospalax galili (Upper Galilee mountains blind mole rat). Its description in RNAcentral is "lncRNA (ENSNGAG00000024491.1)". The record is from RNAcentral. Lineage: Eukaryota; Metazoa; Chordata; Mammalia; Rodentia; Spalacidae.
CUCCUGAUACUGGGAUUACAGGCAUGUGCCACUACAUCUGGGCAGAACAUGAUCUUAAAUAACUGUUAAAACUCCUUAGUGUUCACUUUUUUGAUAAUGACAUUUGUUUUUAGCCAGUGAAAUCUCAAUACAAUCUUUUUUUUUUCAUUUGUUUUCCAUUUCAUAGGGAGACCGUUCUAAUCUGAGCACUAGCCAGCCUUUUCCAUCUGCAUUGCCUCCAUUUGUUCAUCAAGAACCAACCAGCAAAUUAGAACAUCAUUCCUCCAGUCUCAGAAUGUUGAGAGUAUCUCGUGACGCUCUGCCAGCAACUCUCAGACAUUUAACAGUAUAUAGAAUUCUUUCAAGAAUCUUCUCCAGUGCCCUGGGUUUCAUCUUUGGAACCCAUCAUAGCGAAAGAAGAGACCUAACUCUUAAAAGUUGUCCUCUGAUCUCUACAUGUGUGCUGUGGUGCACCACCAUAUUCAUAUCCUCCUUCUCUUCUUCCCGAGCUCCCUUCCUCCCUCUCUCCGUUCCCCCUCCCCUCCCUCUCACACACAUAAGUAAAAUUAAAUAUUAAAACAAAAUAAAAAAAAUAGUGGUCUCAUAGAAGUCAGCAGUGGCUACAUUUGGACCUGGUAUUUUUGGUUGGCAAGAUUGGGCACACCUUUAAUCCCAUCUCUCAGGAGGUCGAGGGAGAUAGAUCUUUGUGAGAGGCCAGCCUGGUCUAUAUAGUGAGUUCUAGGCCAGCUGGGGCUACAGGGAGACCCUUUCUCAGAAAAAGAAAAGAAUAAAUAAAUUCUCCAGAGCUGACAUAGUGGGCAUGAAUUCCUUAAGUUAGUGUUUAUCAUAGAUUUUUUUCCCUUCAGUAGUAAAGGACAUCUUUGCUGGAUAUGGCAAUCUGGAUUGGCAGUAUUGUCAUUCUGAUCUUGAAAUACAUUGGUUCAUGUCCUCCAGGCUUUUAGUUUCUAUUGAGAACUCUGCUAUUACUGUGAUAGGUUUGUCUUUUUUCUUUUUUUUUUUUUUAAAAAGUAUUUUAUUCAUUAUUUUUAUUUUUAUGUGUAUGAGUGUAUUGCCCGCAUGUAUGUGAGUGCACCCAUGUCGUGCAAUGCCAUGAAGGUCAGAAGAGAGCUUCGGAUCCCCCUGGAACUGGAGUUAAGGAUGGUUUGUAGCAGCCAUGUGGGUGCUGGGAAUCGAACCCAGGUCCUCUGCAAGAGCAGUCAGUGCUCUUAACU